UACGUAGGGUGCGAGCGUUACUCGGAAUUACUGGGCGUAAAGCGUGCGCAGGCGGUUCGUUGUGUCUGCUGUGAAAGCCCCGGGCUCAACCUGGGAAUGGCAGUGGAAACUGGCGAGCUGGAGUGUGGCAGAGGGGGGUGGAAUUCCGCGUGUAGCAGUGAAAUGCGUAGAGAUGCGGAGGAACACCGAUGGCGAAGGCAGCCCCCUGGGCUGACACUGACGCUCAGGCACGAAAGCGUGGGGAGCAAACAGG
Molecule: ribosomal RNA, 253 nt
Filed under: uncultured bacterium
Lineage: Bacteria
Description: partial 16S ribosomal RNA
Rfam family: Bacterial small subunit ribosomal RNA
Source: RNAcentral